GAUGCGUGUACCCCACUUGUUCUGGUAAGACAUUUAAACAGUGGACAUUUUACAAAUCAAUGAAACCCAUUCAAAUUAUGAAGAUUUUGUAUUCAAGUCCAUUCCAAACCAAAUACCAACAAAAUUUAUUAAGGUUGUGUUUGAAUAAGCAUGCAUUUGACAUGAAUUACUUAAUAAGUUAGUUUCAAAGUUGAUUAUACACACACAUAGACACACACUUUGGUUAGGUAGAUUCAUUAUUUCAUUGAUUAGAAACUGAAUUCAUGAAUGCGAACUUUAACUUAUUUGACCAUGAAUAACUACUAAAAAGGUGUAAUUUCAAAUGGGCACUAUAACACUUUAGAUUAACCAUAUAUUUUUAAUAUCAUUGUUAGAUAUAUAGCUUAUAAAUGACACAGUUUAUACUAAAAUUUCAAAUAUCUCUAUCCAAAUGAAACUAAGAUUAUCUUGGAAUCAUUAAGAACCAGGCAUAUAUUCAUAACCUGACCUUAUGAGAAAA
Molecule: unclassified non-coding RNA, 499 nt
Filed under: Hevea brasiliensis (rubber tree)
Lineage: Eukaryota; Viridiplantae; Streptophyta; Magnoliopsida; Malpighiales; Euphorbiaceae
Source: RNAcentral